GUAGUUGAAAACCGGUGAUUGUAUAUGCUUAAGUUGAUGUUUUUACGUCUAAAAGAGUUUAAGGAGCUAAUCGGGAGCUAAACGGAGCACCGGGACGCGAAACGGAUCAACCGGGGAUGUGAAAUGAAGAAAACCGGGUUAAUCACUAAGAUUGGAUGUAUUUUGGGGAAUGUUGAUGGAUCUAAAAUGAAUAUAUUGGAAGAUGGCAUGAUAGAGGGCUGAAUUACGAGAACGUGGGCGAAAACGGUGAGUAAAACGGAGCUAUAACGAAAAAGUUAUGAAGAAAACAGUUUUGGACGAAACCGACAAAACCAGGCAGCGUCGGGGACGCCCAAAAGGGCCGUCGGCGACGCCCUCUGGAUUGUUCCGUCGGCCAAAAACCUCCGUAAACAGCUAAUUAAGCCGUCGGGCGAAACUAAGACUUCCAAGGGCCGUCGGGGACGCCCUAAAUGGCCGUCGGCGACGCCAUCUGCAUUCUCAUAUCGCGAAAAACUUGAUUUUUAAGUUGGGGACGAGUUAUAACAUCAAUUUUGACCAAGAAACGGGAGUUACACUUCAUUUGGAGUUUGAAAACAAGGUUGGGAGCCAUUAUUCACCUAUCCUUCACUACCACUUCAUCCCCAAUCAAGAAUCCAUCCUCUCAACAACCCGAAUUCUCAUCCAAAUCUAAACCCUAGUUCAUCACCAUUACAACCAUUCAACCCAUUCAUCACCACCAACCAUUCCAAACCCUAACCAUUCCAUCAUCCAUCUUCAAGUCCCAAGAUGAUCCAAUUCAAGUGCCGUGCAUCCGUUGAUCGUGCCAUUUACACCAUGAGCGGCUAAUUCCUCGGAGGUUUCACCCCGGUGUAGGUUAAUUGUAAGUCUAGGGUUUGAACAAUGUUUUAGUUUGGUUUUGUGACAACUUGAUUUGUAUUUGAAUUGAUUGACAAUUGUCUUGCAUUUGAACUAUAUUUGUGAAUUGUCGAGUGAGUUAUGAAAUUUGACUUU
This 990-nucleotide long non-coding RNA is filed under the name Helianthus annuus (common sunflower). RNAcentral describes it as "hypothetical non coding rna". Lineage: Eukaryota; Viridiplantae; Streptophyta; Magnoliopsida; Asterales; Asteraceae. The record is from RNAcentral.